This 253-nucleotide ribosomal RNA is filed under the name uncultured bacterium. RNAcentral's name for it is "partial 16S ribosomal RNA". It matches the Rfam family "Bacterial small subunit ribosomal RNA", at positions 524 to 776 of the family's 1533-position model. The record is from RNAcentral.
UACGUAGGGUGCAGGCGUUAAUCGGAAUUACUGGGCGUAAAGCGUGCGCAGGCGGUUUGCUAAGACAGGUGUGAAAGCCCCGAGCUUAACUUGGGAAUUGCGCUUGUGACUGGCGUGCUGGAGUGUGGCAGAGGGAGGUGGAAUUCCACGUGUAGCAGUGAAAUGCGUAGAGAUGUGGAGGAACACCGAUGGCGAAGGCAGCCUCCUGGGCCAGCACUGACGCUCAUGCACGAAAGCGUGGGGAGCAAACAGG